GGGCUUGGAUUCGCUCUCUUUAGGCUCGCUCGGGGAGGAGGAGGGGCCGCUUAGGGAGGAGGGACUCAUAGGUUUCGCGCUUUACAGCUUCCAAAGCAGAGGGCCACCGCCGCGGGAGUGGGACCCGUGGUUCGCGGGAGGGCCGCGUGGGCCUGAGCCGUCCCCGGCUCUCAAGGAGUAGGAGUAGCGUCCCCGGGAACGGCACAAGCAGUAGGACAUGCCUGAGCCGACGAAGUCCUUGCCGGCGGCGGCGGCGUCUCGUGGGGUAAUACCGUCCUCCAAACCGGCACCGUCGGUCACUUCUGAAUAGUCCAGACGCACUAGGACUCAAAACUUCCUUCUGAAAAUGAUAAAACCUUCUCAGUUCAUUACUAUCUCCACCAGUAAAACACCUACGUCACCACAUUAGGUUGCCAACUCUACGUUACUAAUUAAUUGAACAGGAUUUUUGUUAAUUCGUUGAACAUACUCUUAAUACCCUGCGCACCGAGGAGACCCCUGAUAUAUUGGUCCCUCUCACCCUCCUACCCA
Molecule: ribosomal RNA, 531 nt
Filed under: Triticum aestivum (bread wheat)
Lineage: Eukaryota; Viridiplantae; Streptophyta; Magnoliopsida; Poales; Poaceae
Description: partial small subunit ribosomal RNA
Source: RNAcentral